CUAAAGGCUUUAAUGAGGUUGUUACCUCCCUCUAAAGCCACCCAACCCUUUCAAAAAGGUGAUGG
Phaethon lepturus (White-tailed tropicbird) is the source of this 65-nucleotide non-coding RNA. Lineage: Eukaryota; Metazoa; Chordata; Aves; Phaethontiformes; Phaethontidae. The record is from Rfam.